RNAcentral lists this long non-coding RNA (2187 nucleotides) under Equus caballus (horse). RNAcentral's name for it is "lncRNA (ENSECAG00000039037.3)". Lineage: Eukaryota; Metazoa; Chordata; Mammalia; Perissodactyla; Equidae. The record is from RNAcentral.
AUUUGAAGGAGCCCCAUCAGAUUGUGCAUUUCUGACUUUACUCCUUUUCUCAUGUGAACUGCAAAACUAAAGAGGAACAUAAGAAACAAAAAGGAGAAAAAUUAUCAAAUGAUUGUAAAAGAAUAAAGAGAGUUAAACAAUGCAAAUUUCUGAUGUGUUAACAUUAAGAGAAAGAUGAAGAACAGCUUAAUAAUCAUAUUCAGAUAUUGGAAUACAGACAAGAAAAAGAUUAAGUCAUUCUUGUUUUCACUCUGAGACAAAUAAGAGAACGUGGGCCACAAGACGACAUGUUUGAAAUUCCGAUUCUUGUUCACCCGCUUUUCAAUCUACUGCUUCUGCCCCGCCAGGCUGCCUCGAGUUCUGGAAGGGUCACUUCAUUCCCUCACAGCACGUGGACCUCCAAUGCAGAUGUGCUGCUAUGACGCCUAGGGAAACAGAGUUUUACAACAAACUAGAACUGUAGGAGUGACUCCAAUGUUCAAGGUGGGUAGUUUUCAGAGAAGAGCUGCUGAAGAGACAACCCAGUAUGGAUGCACCACAAUGUUUAUUCUUGCAACGACUUCUGAAUUACUUGAGAUAACUUGACAAGUUUUUGUUCCUUGCAAACAGAAGAAUCAAGCAACCGUAGGCAUUAAACUUGAGAUACUACAUGUGGUGGUAAAGAUAGGUCUUCAUAUUGAUCAAGGAAUUAUACAGAGCUUCUCCAGCCUAUAGCCUCAGUUGCCCAAAUCCAUUGUUCACAUGUUUUCAACUUGAAGAUUCCAAGAGUUCCAGAGCAUAUCACAAGUGUCUGAAUAUCUGGUUCCAGCCACUCUAGGAAAUUAACAGGACUCCAGGAGGGAUGCCUGGGAACCUCCAAUUUAUAGCCAGAAGGUCAGAAGAACAGGGGACACCCUGGACUUGUGGAGCUUACACUCUUGAAGAGGGUGGCAAGCACGGUAAUGAAGAAGUCUGUAUGAGCAGAGAGACAAAGUUUGAGUUUCGAAAGCAUUUUGGAGAAACAAGUCACUUUGUAAAAGAAAGAGAUGUUGGACUCCCCCUUGAAGUCUACAGUGGAAGCUACAAGAUCCUUUUUUUGAGGAGUUUAAUUUUACUUCAAUUCUGGUCUUGUGAAAGUUGAAUUAAAAUCUCCUCAGCAGUUUUAACAAUCCGUUGGUUUCCCAUCUCUAACUCUCAUUCUCAGAGCUUUGAGAGUGUUGUUUUCUCCUUUCCUUCUGAAUGAGAAGAAAGACUAUAUCCAAAACAGCAGCCAGAGGACGGGGUGAAUCUUGAAGCCACUCCCUCCACCUCACACUCAUUCUUGUGUCUAGUUGUUUAUAGCAUCUGUUUGCACUUCAAAUUUGACUAUCUGUUGUCAACUUCAGCUCCACAUGAGGAAGAUAGAUUCCCCUUAAAAUUUUUCCUUACUUUUUCCUACUUGUGUAACAUCCGACUAACUGGAUAAAAAGGUCAUUUUGCUGACAGCUCAAGUAAGGACAUAAAAUGAUUUUCAGUGCAUUUCUCUUUUGAUCGACAUUUAUAUUUGGUUGUAAUAUCUUGCUGCUUCUUCAUAUAGUUCCGCCAGGCACUCUCCCUGUGUCACCUUCAGGACUGUCCUAGGUGUCAUUUCUUCUAGAACUCCUUCUGGAACUGUCACUGCACAGGAUAUUCUUUCAAUACUUUUCUUCUCAUCCACGGAGCCUCUGCCCUGGCAAUCUAUCCUCAUCUCCAUGGUCAAAGGCGUUUUAGCACAUACCACACCCACUCCCAGCCCCUGGAAAUUUAUAUCCGUCUUCCCUUCCCACCAUACAUCAAGUCCCAGGUCCUUAUUUUAUACAUCAAAAUACUCCUGCUAAGUAAUAUGUAUUUCUUCUUCUUUUUCUAUUUUUAAAUCCAAUUUUCUGAACUUAUUCCCUGGAAGCCUAAUGUCAGUUUGUCUUUACUCCCAUCUUUGAGUUUUUUCCCCUUUCAAAGCAAUGCCUGAAAUUAUUUUCCUCUAAUGGCUGCCAAAAUCUCUGACUUUCUCUCUCUCUCUCUCCUUAAAUAGUGUCUAACUAUAUUUCACUUAUUUCAGAAAAUCUUUCUGGAUUGAUCAUUAAGGAGUUAACAAUGUUGCUUAGUUUAUUAUGCGUGUGGCUAUUUCUCCCAUUUUCCCCCUUUCUUUAGAUUUACCUUCUUGAUAAAUGUUAUGCUUUAUUUUGAUAUAGU